This 492-nucleotide ribosomal RNA is filed under the name uncultured bacterium. RNAcentral's name for it is "partial 16S ribosomal RNA". It matches the Rfam family "Bacterial small subunit ribosomal RNA", at positions 29 to 507 of the family's 1533-position model. The record is from RNAcentral.
AGUGAACGCUGGCGGUAGGCCUAACACAUGCAAGUCGAACGGCAGCACCGUAAGAGCUUGCUCUUACGGGUGGCGAGUGGCGAACGGGUGAGGAAUACAUCGGAAUCUACUUUUUCGUGGGGGAUAACGUAGGGAAACUUACGCUAAUACCGCAUACGACCUACGGGUGAAAGCAGGGGAUCUUCUGACCUUGCGCGAUUGAAUGAGCCGAUGUCGGAUUGGCUAGUUGGCGGGGUAAAUGCCCACCAAGGCGACGAUCCGUAGCUGGUCUGAGAGGAUGAUAGGCCACACUGGAACUGAGACACGGUCCAGACUCCUACGGGAGGCAGCAGUGGGGAAUAUUAGACAAUGGGCGGGAGCCUGAUACAGCCAUACCGCGUGGGUGAAGAAGGCCUUCGGGUUGUAAAGCCCUUUUGUUGGGAAAGAAAAGCAGCAGGUUAAUACGCCGCUGUUCUGACGGUAACCAAAGAAUAAGCACCGGCUAACUUCGUG